RNAcentral lists this ribosomal RNA (600 nucleotides) under uncultured Streptomyces sp. Its description in RNAcentral is "bacterial SSU rRNA". It matches the Rfam family "Bacterial small subunit ribosomal RNA", at positions 22 to 639 of the family's 1533-position model. Lineage: Bacteria; Bacillati; Actinomycetota; Actinomycetes; Kitasatosporales; Streptomycetaceae. The record is from RNAcentral.
GCUCAGGACGAACGCUGGCGGCGUGCUUAACACAUGCAAGUCGAACGAUGAAGCCUUUCGGGGUGGAUUAGUGGCGAACGGGUGAGUAACACGUGGGCAAUCUGCCCUUCACUCUGGGACAAGCCCUGGAAACGGGGUCUAAUACCGGAUAACACUCUGUCCCGCAUGGGACGGGGUUAAAAGCUCCGGCGGUGAAGGAUGAGCCCGCGGCCUAUCAGCUUGUUGGUGGGGUGAUGGCCUACCAAGGCGACGACGGGUAGCCGGCCUGAGAGGGCGACCGGCCACACUGGGACUGAGACACGGCCCAGACUCCUACGGGAGGCAGCAGUGGGGAAUAUUGCACAAUGGGCGAAAGCCUGAUGCAGCGACGCCGCGUGAGGGAUGACGGCCUUCGGGUUGUAAACCUCUUUCAGCAGGGAAGAAGCGAAAGUGACGGUACCUGCAGAAGAAGCGCCGGCUAACUACGUGCCAGCAGCCGCGGUAAUACGUAGGGCGCAAGCGUUGUCCGGAAUUAUUGGGCGUAAAGAGCUCGUAGGCGGCUUGUCACGUCGGAUGUGAAAGCCCGGGGCUUAACCCCGGGUCUGCAUUCGAUACGGGCUA